CCUACGGGUGGCAGCAGUGGGGAAUAUUGCACAAUGGGCGCAAGCCUGAUGCAGCCAUGCCGCGUGUGUGAAGAAGGCCUUCGGGUUGUAAAGCACUUUCAGCGGGGAGGAAGGCGGUGAGGUUAAUAACCUCAUCGAUUGACGUUACCCGCAGAAGAAGCACCGGCUAACUCCGUGCCAGCAGCCGCGGUAAUACGGAGGGUGCAAGCGUCAAUCGGAAUUACUGGGCGUAAAGCGCACGCAGGCGGUCUGUCAAGUCGGAUGUGAAAUCCCCGGGCUCAACCUGGGAACUGCAUUCGAAACUGGCAGGCUAGAGUCUUGUAGAGGGGGGUAGAAUUCCAGGUGUAGCGGUGAAAUGCGUAGAGAUCUGGAGGAAUACCGGUGGCGAAGGCGGCCCCCUGGACAAAGACUGACGCUCAGGUGCGAAAGCGCGGGGAGCAAACAGGAUUAGAUACCCUGGUAGUC
RNAcentral lists this ribosomal RNA (465 nucleotides) under uncultured Klebsiella sp. Its description in RNAcentral is "bacterial SSU rRNA". It matches the Rfam family "Bacterial small subunit ribosomal RNA", at positions 338 to 795 of the family's 1533-position model. The record is from RNAcentral. Lineage: Bacteria; Pseudomonadati; Pseudomonadota; Gammaproteobacteria; Enterobacterales; Enterobacteriaceae.